CAGAUUUGGCUAGCUGCCUGAAUGGAGUGCUGAAAACAAAAUACAGCCUUUGUAUUGCCAUCAGCAGUGAGUCCUGUAUGAAGCUGAGACUGGGGAAGCUGAUCAAGAAUGGACUACAAAGAAGAAAAAGAAUGGUGUAACUGACUGUCUGAUCCAAGCGGGCAGAGUCUUCAGACAACUGUUUCCUUGACCGUUUUUCCAGGUAAGUACAGUUAAGGUCAUAGAA
RNAcentral lists this long non-coding RNA (226 nucleotides) under Pogona vitticeps (central bearded dragon). RNAcentral's name for it is "lncRNA (ENSPVIG00000000082.1)". Lineage: Eukaryota; Metazoa; Chordata; Lepidosauria; Squamata; Agamidae. The record is from RNAcentral.